RNAcentral lists this long non-coding RNA (1991 nucleotides) under Xyrichtys novacula (pearly razorfish). The record is from RNAcentral. Lineage: Eukaryota; Metazoa; Chordata; Actinopteri; Labriformes; Labridae.
CUAUGGAAUCAUUGACACUUAUGAUGGACCCCAGGACGAACUAAAAGGGCUCCAAUGUCAAAACGGAGAUCCAACUAAAAAUGGCUCCAAAGCGCCCCCCACGAAAUUUCAAACGGUAAGCCUUGCUUCUGUAUGUGACCCAAACCUAUAGAAUCAAUAACACUUGUUCUGGACACCAAGACGAACAAAAGAGGGAGGCGGUCCACAGAUGUGGCGUCAUGGCAAAGCUCAGGCCCGUUGGUGCCAUGUGGAGGGCUUGUUGGUUUUGAAUUUGUAGAAAAGUUUAAGGGUCUUGCUUGUGUCUACUUAUAAAAGAAAGCGAAAGAAAAGAAAGGACGAAAUAGACAAAAAUGUUCAAGGUCCCCUAUUAUGAAAAAUCCACAUUUGGGUGGUUUCCCCUCGAAGCUGACAACCCCUCAACAUGAAAAAAUUUCAUUCUUUCCCUCUCUUGCUUUCCUCUCCUCUCUGAAAACAUGAGCGCAAACAGGUGUAUGGAAAAGCUGUGCGGUUAUGUCGAUAUAAUCGCAUUAUCCCCCCUACAUGUUAGAGGCAGCACCCCGAUAAUUGUUAGCCCAGCCCUAUAAAACUUCUUUGCUGAGGUAGUGUCUGCCAUUUUUCCCCUUGCAUGCGCCGAUCCGGUACAGCAACCACCCCGAAGCUAUGAUCCAGCCACUGUGUGGUUCUUGGCUGCACAAAUGAAGACAAGAGUCUAUUUCUGCCCCCUUUAACGUAAGAUUUGAGGACCCAGUGAAUUGAUUUUAUUUUUAAUGAAAAUGUACCCGCAACAACUCUAAAAAAUGUUGUAUGUGUGUGCUAACCAUUUCACCAUGGACUGCUUUACCAAUGAGGGGCAGAUUAAAGCAGGAUUCGCUAAGAAGCUGAAGAUAAAACCUUGAUCAGUACCAACUGUCCGUGUCAGGAACCCAACUUCAAACGUGGAAGCUGUACGUUCUACCAUUUUAUGUUGUUUGACCGCCUGUAUAACUAGUGCUUUGGCUGCAAUCACGUGUGUUUACCAUCGUUGGUAUUCAUUGUUGGUUUCAUUUCUAUUUACUUUUAUUCCUGUGAGCAGCAGGUGUUCCUCGGGGGUGCGGAGGCAAGUUGGUGCCACAGUGGGCUGGAGGCCCUCUGAAGAGGUCCUCAGAAGAGCUCCAGACCACCGCUCCUGGACCACUGUGGCGGUGGGUACAGGCUGGCUGAUAUCCACAAAUAAACUGGUGUUUUAGACAACAAACAUCAAAUUUACUCGUGUGCGAUCUCUAGGAUCGAUUUAAACUUGAUGAAAAAUGCCAUAAUAGGAGACCUUUAAGGAAACAGAAAAGCUGAUGGCAAAAGUAAAUGCACCCUUCUUACAUACGGCCCAAGGAAAGAGUCCCCCACCUUAUGAGAGAGAGUUAAAGUUCACUGAUGUUUAUCCUCAGCUCCCAGUAAUUAAACAGGAGGGUAACUAUCACAUCAAAGAUGAAGAAUAGAGAAUAAUAGAGACAGGAAAUGCUAAAACAACUGUAAAGAUGUACCGAAGUAAUAAAAGUAAAAAGAAAGCAGGACGUCCAGCAAGUAGCAGUCAACAAAGAUUUAAAAAAAUAGAAAUGGGAGAUGAAAGUCAGAGUGAUGUGGGUGAGGCCAUUGGAGGUUAUGACCCAGCAGUUAGAUGGGUAUUAGCCAAAGCAGGGAAAAUAGGAGAAAAAUCACAGAGGAAAAAAGAAACUAGUAAGGGACACCACUGAGGAGAGUGAAAAUGAGGAUAGAGAAGAAGAUUCAGAAAGUGAGGGACCUUCAUAUUCCACCCUGUUAGUGUCCAGUUCUGAAUCUGCUUAUGAGAGACAGAGGGCUUUAGUAAAAAAGAUUGAGGGAAGUAUAAAUAGAUGUCUUACAGACAUGAAUAAAUCUACCAGUCCAGAAAGCCACGAAGAAGAAAAAGUCAGAAAGUUAGACACUUCACAAUAUGCAUUACGCCCAAGAAAAGAGGAUAAGCCAUCUGAUAAAAUGUG